This 286-nucleotide unclassified non-coding RNA is filed under the name Podospora sp. RNAcentral describes it as "partial contains 5.8S ribosomal RNA, internal transcribed spacer 2, and large subunit ribosomal RNA". The stretch from base 1 to 71 matches the Rfam family "5.8S ribosomal RNA", at positions 84 to 154 of the family's 154-position model. Lineage: Eukaryota; Fungi; Ascomycota; Sordariomycetes; Sordariales; Podosporaceae. The record is from RNAcentral.
GUGAGUCAUCGAAUCUUUGAACGCACAUUGCGCCCGCCAGUAUUCUGGCGGGCAUGCCUGUUCGAGCGUCAUUUCAACCAUCAAGCCCCCGGGCUUGCGUUGGGGCCCUGCGGCUGCCGCAGGCCCUUAAAAGUAGUGGCGGGCUCGCUGUCACACCGAGCGCAGUAGCGAUAUUCGCUCCGGGCGUCGGCGGCGGGCACCGGCCGUGAAACCCCCCAUUUCUCAAGGUUGACCUCGGAUCAGGUAGGAAUACCCGCUGAACUUAAGCAUAUCAAUAAGCGGAGGA